RNAcentral lists this non-coding RNA (96 nucleotides) under Collinsella vaginalis. Lineage: Bacteria; Bacillati; Actinomycetota; Coriobacteriia; Coriobacteriales; Coriobacteriaceae. The record is from RNAcentral.
ACACGGGGAGCUGGGAUACGGCCCGGCUGAGAGGAAUGACCAGACUCAUUCGACCCUGAACCUGAUCCGGGUAAUGCCGGCGUAGGGAUGGAAAAU